RNAcentral lists this transfer RNA (91 nucleotides) under Daldinia caldariorum. RNAcentral's name for it is "tRNA-His". It matches the Rfam family "tRNA". Rfam says of the family: Transfer RNA (tRNA) molecules are approximately 80 nucleotides in length. Their secondary structure includes four short double-helical elements and three loops (D, anti-codon, and T loops). The record is from RNAcentral. Lineage: Eukaryota; Fungi; Ascomycota; Sordariomycetes; Xylariales; Hypoxylaceae.
GGUGGUAUAGUAUAAUGGCCAGUACAACACGUUGUGGAUAUGAAUAUACAAGUGUUCCGUGUAGAUCUGGGUUCGAUUCCCAGUACCGCCA